CCUGGCCAAAUCAAUGAAACAAUGCGUGCACGCUCCCUGAAGUAAUUCACACCAGACACAGGUUCCAGGUUGUUGAAUAACUUGAGGAAAGUUUAUUCAGAGGGGACGGCAGGUCCCUUUUAAAGCAAAAUUACAUCAUAAGCAUUGUCAGAGAUAACAUGAAAUAAUACAUCAAUAAUUGGUUAAGUGUUAAGUGUCUUAUUCAAAGCACGUCCUACAGGGUGUGCCUUCUUAUGUCAUUACUGUCGUCAUGGAGUUCUCCCCCAGGAUUCCAGCGCCAUCUUGAAAAUUAGAGUGUUUGGUCGAUGGGUGGGGUACUCCUGAGUGACAUCUAGUGGUCAGUUUAGUAAUUUAUUGAAUAAUAUUAAGUAUAACUAAAUGAAGUAAAUAGACAUUUUACUAGCUAAAAAUAUGUCAAUAUUUCAUGUCACCAGGUCCAUGAGGGUCUCCCACGGUUUCCCGGCGCCAUCUUGCUGCACGAGGUAGUUAGUCGGUGUUUAAAGGGGCAGGGGGAGGAAGGGGUUAGAAGCUUCUAGCAGCCAUUUUGAUUAAACAUGUGUGCUUAACUCUAUAGCAUAGUGUGAGAUGAGUAAAUAGACAUUUUCCUUUAACUAGGAAAUAUGUGUAGACCUUAUUUCCACAACAGUCCCCCCUAAAAUGGCUAUUUACCAUAACAACUGCUACUGUCCCUAAUAUAUCCCUAAUGAUAUGCUCCUAAUCUAUCUCAGCAGGCAUCGAACACUUCACUCCGUGGGUAACCCGCAGCGGCUAGUCCACUACAUCUCCACACGUGAGACUCGCCUGCCAAGACAGAUGCUUUCCCUAUACUAUCCCUACAGGAAAGCAGUUGUCUGUUUGAACUGAUGAGCUUGAAGGGGUGUAUGUGGUGUGUCAUCUUCGAGGUCUGUGACGUCCUGAUGUAGGAAAGUAGGGGUCACGUCAACUAUAGUCUUAUCUACCGCUUUCUGUAAGUACUUCUGUUAUGCAAGGGAGUACGCAACAGGUUAGAAAUAAGGAAAUGAUGAUCAUUAUAAGAACAGCUGUCCCUACCUGGAAGAGGGUCCUUUGCCAACCAUUCAUCCAUCCAAACCAUCUGUCCCAAGUGUCGAUGACUCCUGAAUUUUUCUUUAGCUCGUCUGCAAGACUAUCUAGCUUCUCUAUGGCCAUAGUCACCUUACCAUUGGGCCCAGUGUUGUCUGGAAUGUAUGUGCGACAUGUCAUGGUCUCAGGGAGGAUUUUACAUACACCCCCUUUCUCAGCUAAAAUCAUAUCUAGGGCCAUUCUGUUCUGAAAUGUCAUUUGGGUAGUGGCUUGUAAUUACUCUGCCAGGCCCUGUAGGGCAUCCCUAGUAUAGUUGACAAAGCGCUGUUGAUUAUAGUAAAUGUAGUUAAUCCAAUUGACAUUUUUGUUAGAAAUUAUCAUUGGAAUUAGGGAUUCAAAUCCUGCAGCCACUUCAUCUCUUGCUUUGUAUUCUUUAGGCACCCCCCUUGGCACACCUAUGGCAUCAAUAUACACAUGGGGGUCAAAGCUCCCUCUGAUAGGAGCCCCUCGUUUGGUUCUAGAGUGUACAUGUGUAAGGUUUAACGUGUUAUGACUACCAUCUGGAAUAAUGUGGAUAGGCAUUAUGACUUUGGUUAGGGCGCACUCCCCCCACCAUUGCUCAGCUAAUUGGGACCUCAAUUGUCUGUCACCACAUAACCAAUAGAUAUCUCCAAUGGUCUUUGCAUGAUUUAUUAGCAGUGACACAGGUGGGCUAUGGUAGGUUGAGCAAUAUCCAGAUGGGAAUCCGCCCAGAUACACACCAGUAUUCUUAGGUAUAGCAUAACAUGUGUAAUUACCUGGAUACACGGUGACUCCAUCAGGUGGCUUGACAUAUCCAUGAGUGAUUGGGUGAACCCUUUUCCAUGAUUCACAUGUUGAGGAGUUGGUGGUGGAUUGUGCAUAAAGACUCAGAACACAUAAUUCUACUUCAGGAGGUAGGCUUAGAGGUACUGUGCCCAGAUGGGGCCUGGCUCCUCCACAUACAUAACAGUUAGUCUUAUUAUGUGAGUUGGCGUUAUAUCUCAUCCAUUCUAGCCACAAAUUAGUGUCUGAAAACCCAGUCUCUACUGUCAUAGUGUCUUCAAA
Pelobates cultripes (western spadefoot toad) is the source of this 2127-nucleotide non-coding RNA. Lineage: Eukaryota; Metazoa; Chordata; Amphibia; Anura; Pelobatidae. The record is from the annotation of a GenBank genome assembly.